This 105-nucleotide transfer RNA is filed under the name marine sediment metagenome. RNAcentral describes it as "tRNA-Arg". It matches the Rfam family "tRNA". Rfam says of the family: Transfer RNA (tRNA) molecules are approximately 80 nucleotides in length. Their secondary structure includes four short double-helical elements and three loops (D, anti-codon, and T loops). Further hydrogen bonds mediate the characteristic L-shaped molecular structure. tRNAs have two regions of fundamental functional importance: the anti-codon, which is responsible for specific mRNA codon recognition, and the 3' end, to which the tRNAs corresponding amino acid is attached (by aminoacyl-tRNA synthetases). tRNAs cope with the degeneracy of the genetic code in two manners: having more than one tRNA (with a specific anti-codon) for a particular amino acid; and 'wobble' base-pairing, i.e. permitting non-standard base-pairing at the 3rd anti-codon position. The record is from RNAcentral.
GGGCCCGUAAUCUAGCGGAUAGGGUGCCCGGCUUCGGUAUCUGGGAUGCAAAAGAGCUCAGAAGGGGAGACUGGGAUGUCGCAGGUUCGAAUCCUGCCGGGCCCG